UACGUAGGCAGCGAGCGUUGUUCGGAAUUACUGGGCGUAAAGAGUGUGUAGGCGGUGCUCCCAGUCUGUUGUGAAAUCUCCCGGCUUAACUGGGAGGGUGCAGCGGAAACUAGAGUGCUAGAGGGUGGGAGAGGUAAGCGGAAUUCCUGGUGUAGCGGUGAAAUGCGUAGAGAUCAGGAGGAACACCCGUAGCGAAGGCGGCACUCUGGGCCGAUACUGACGCUGAGGAGCGAAAGCGUGGGGAGCGAACAGG
Molecule: ribosomal RNA, 253 nt
Filed under: uncultured bacterium
Lineage: Bacteria
Description: partial 16S ribosomal RNA
Rfam family: Bacterial small subunit ribosomal RNA
Source: RNAcentral